Molecule: ribosomal RNA, 120 nt
Filed under: Ochrobactrum soli
Lineage: Bacteria; Pseudomonadati; Pseudomonadota; Alphaproteobacteria; Hyphomicrobiales; Brucellaceae
Source: RNAcentral
CGACCUGGUGGUUAUGGCGGAGCGGCUGCACCCGAUCCCAUUCCGAACUCGGCCGUGAAACGCUCCAGCGCCAAUGGUACUUCAUCUUAAGAUGCGGGAGAGUAGGUCGCUGCCAGGUCU